Molecule: long non-coding RNA, 5564 nt
Organism: Equus quagga
Lineage: Eukaryota; Metazoa; Chordata; Mammalia; Perissodactyla; Equidae
Exons: 3
Source: RefSeq, a predicted model, not a curated record
CGCCAUGUUAUAAACCUAUAUGACCUCAAUAAUUAAAAAAAAAAAGAAUUAAGCAACAACAAUUUUUAAAAAGUCAAAAAAAAUGUAGUUGUCUUGGGUACCAUUUUCCCUCACGACCUGUCUGAAAGGUCACUGGUGGAAUUCGACCCCUAGCCCCCACCUGAGGGCUUGAUUUCAACGAAGUCCAGUGCAAGCUUGAUAUCUGACCCCAAAAAAGGCUCUUUACUCCCUUCCUACCCUAGACUGGACUCCGUGACGUUCUCGUAUCGUGUUCCGUGGACUCAUCGGCCUCCACCCAUCCCCGGCUGUGCUGAGCCCACCCUUCUCCAGUGGCACCUCCUUCAGGAAGCCCUCCCUGCAGAGCCCCAUGCAGACACUCCCUCCAGGCCCGUCCCGUUCUUCCAAACAGAAUACUAAGUCUGGCCCUUGUAGCUCCGUGGGAGGAAAGAGUUGAUCCACUGAUUGAUUGGCUGAUGGGUUAAUUCGUUCGUUAAUUCACUCAGCAGUGUUUGUUGAGUGCCUCUCCCGUACCAGUCACGGUAGCUUUCUCUUAUCCUCCCCGCAGUGAGGUGGCCGGCACAUUGUACGGGAAGAAACGAUGCCUGAAUUUCGGGUACAGAGGCCCAAACCUGGAGGAGACAUUUGGGAGUCGGGUUACUUUCUGACUCUGCUGAUGUGUCUGUUGCCCACGUGGAAGGUGCUGCUGCUGCUUUCUGGUCUAUAAGGAAGGGAGGGAGGCAGGGAGAGAUGAGAGAGUGUGCAUGUGUGUGGACGUGCUUGUGUGAGCCUGUGCCUGGGGUUGUGCGUGUGUCUGUAAAGGGUGCGGCACGUCAGGAGUGUGCAGAGUUACCCUGGUCCCUGAGGAAGAGGGGAGAAUUAACUACAGGGAGGAAGAGGGGCAAAGGCCCAGUGGUGUGAAAACUUGGGCUGGGUUUAGGGAGCAGGGAGAGGCUGGAUCAUAGGGUGCAGGGUGGUGGGGAACAGGAAGUGAGGCUGGACAGUGGGCAGGAUCCAGUUGUAGAAAACUCUGACAUCACAGCCAAGUCCUAACCAUCCCCCAAGGCCACCUCCUCCAGGAAGCCCUCUGUUGUAGACCUUUGUUGUUUUGGUCUCCUGAGCACCCUCCCCUUUGUUUCCUAUGGGAGCUCAUUGCAUUUGGCUGACCCUGCCUUCCGACUGCUUCAAAGAUGGGCAUGACAUCCAAGCCAGAUAAACCAGAUUCUUCUCUGGGACUUUUCUGUCCAGCCUCUUGGAGGAUCACUACCAAGUAAGCAGGAUGUGAAUUUAGGGCUUCUGGUGGCCCCUGGCCUGAAGAACAAAAUCAGAGCCAAGACAUGUAGUGAGGCAGAGCCCUGGUGUGUUUUUCAGAGCUACUGGAUCCAGCUAUGCCUGAAGCUGCUUAUACCCUGGAGCUCCCAGUUACAUGCACUCAAUCACUUGUUCAUUCAACAAAUAGUUCUCAAAUGCCUGCUGUGUUAGUCAGGGUUCUCCAGAGAGACAGAACCAAUAAGAGACACGUAUAUAUGAACAGAUUUACUACAGGAAUUGGCUCAUGUGAUCCUGGGCUCCAUCGGUCACUUGGGGACUGUCAGCUCCCUUCAUUUCAUACACCCUGCUGAGGCACGGACGGCCAUGUCCAUUCUCAGGUGGAGAAAGCGAGGCUCUGACCACCCUCCCCAAACCCACUGCGGCCUGGUGGGUCUUUCCAUGGCUCCUGGUUCCCACGAUGCCCUAACUCCCUCCUCUGGGGUCUGCAGAGGCCUGUGUCCUGGGGGAGGCCCGGCCGCCAGCACCCCUUGCUCUGAUGGUCAGACUGGCAGCCCCUGAACCGAGACCCCCACAGCCCAGAAGCCCCUCUGCAGAGCCACUGCAGCCCCUAGAAAACAUGCUGGCCGGGAGGGCCUUCAGCCCGGCUCCCACCCCGACUGGAGCUGGGAGCUCCCUGGACGUGGCCCUGCCAGGGCUCCCACCCCCUCACCUGCCCUGCUCUGCGCCCUGCGGCUCCUGGGGCCCAUCCUUCUCUGUGGUUCCAAGGGCCACCGUCCACUGCCCCUGGUGGGAGCUGCCGCCAGCCUGCGCAGCCUGGAUUCUAAGCUGGAGUUUGAAAUCGGUGAUUUGGUGCAGAUUUUGACUUCUCAGCUCAGCUGUGAGCUUGUCAGGGCAGGGACCCAGUUCCAGGUUCUUCUUCGCCUCUCUUAACCCCGGGAGACUUCGUGGCCCGAUCAGUGCUCUCAGAGGGGGUGUAUCGGUUCCCCGCGGCUGCCGUAACAAAUUACCACACCUCGACGGCUUAGAAUAAUGGAAAUGUAUUCUCCCCGGUUCUGGAGGCCACCGUCCGGCAUCAAGGCCGGGUUGGCUCCUCCCUGAGCUCUCUGCCAGCUUCCAGGGCCACCCGCUGUCCUUGGUUUAUGGCUGUAUCCCUCUGAUCUUGGCCUCGUCUUCACAUGGGCCCCCCCGCCGUGUGCCUCUGUGUCUCCUUUUCCGUCUCUUCUGAGGACGCUGUCAUUGGAUUUAGGGCCCAGCCAACAUCCAGCCUGAUCUCAUCUCGAGACCCUUAAUUUGGUUACAUUGGCAAAGACCCUAUUUCCAAGUAAGUUCCCGUUCACAGGUAGUGGGGGUUAGGAUGGCAACGUGGCUUUCUGGGGUCACCCAUCAGCCCAGUGCAGAUGGGAAAACACAGGCCCAGAGGAGAAAGGACUUGCUGGGGACCCCACAGCGCCAAGGGCAGCCAGGGGCCUGCUGCUCUCCUGAAACGGGGUUGGGUCUCUCUCUCAGCGCACGCUGCCCAUCUCCGGAGUCCCUGGGAAAGCCCUCGGUGGAAGCCAUCUGGAGACUGUCUGGGCUCCGGGGAGCCUACCCUUUCCCGCACGGAAAGCCCAGAAUGUGGUCAUAGAAGGGAGUUUCCUUCUUGGGUUGGCUCCCUGCCUGGGGCCCUGGCUGCCGUGCAGGCCCCACUCUGGGGAUGAGUCCAAUUCACGCCUGCCCGGAGCCCCUGCUCCCGUCCCCUGCUCUGAGGAGGCCAAAGGUAGCUCUGGACACAUGGGGACAGGAGAGGAGCGAGGUCCCCCUGACCUUGGGCUGCUUUCUUUCCAGGAACCACUCCUGCCUCUUUGGGGAGAGCGGGGAACGCAGCUUGGGACUUAGACUGAUGGAUCUGACUCUGUAUCCUCAGCUCUCAGAGGCCCAAGGCCUAGUGCUUAGGAUUCGGGCCUCAGAACCCAGACACGGGCUCAGGCCCCAGCUCUGCCAUGUGCGGAGCGUGUGGCCUUGGCCCAGCAAUUUUCCUCCCCUAGUCUCACGUUCUUAUUGAUAAAAGAGGGACAACAGCAGACCGAUCUCCUGGAGCCAUUAGAAGAAUCAGCCCCAGCGCCUGAAGCCAUCGUCACUUCCCUCGUGGGAUCAGGAGAGACGGCUGUUGUCACCGUGUGAGAUCCAUGGGUGCCUCUGACCAUGAGCUCAGGUCACGGAUAAAGUCAGGUGUCUGCUGUGAUCAAAUUACUAGGACUUCCAGCCCCCAGCUCUUCCGUGCUGGAAGGUUCUCUCUUCUUCCCAGGCAUCCUGCUAGUGCCAGUCAGCCCCCCGGGUUCGCUUUUCUGUGCACAUCGCAGUUCAGGUCCACACCUGGGGGCUGGCCUCCGCCGUGUGGAGCCGGUGCUGGUUGGAGAACUUCCGAGAGAAAGAGGCAGAGGGUCAGCAGCGGUCUGACGCCACACGCCUUCCGUGCCGGUCAGGACUGUGAGACAGAAGAGGCCUUUUCUUAAUAAAAUAACCUAAGAUCAGGCCCUAAGACCUGUCGCGAGGCCGAAUCUUUCUUCCGAUGUGCGAUGCCGUCCCCACGGCGUUCAGAGCGCAGGUCAGCAGUCCAGAUCCGAGGGCCAAGCUGCUGGCGAGGGCCACGGGGGUCUGGUCUCCUUAGCGAUGUGCUCAGGGCGCAGAUCAUGGGCAGGAAGGAGCAAGGGCCCGCUCCCUCCCUCCCACAGGACUUCUUGUCUCUCCCUCUCCAGCGCCCCUUGUGCUCUGCGUGACCCAGCAUGAGAUGGGGGUUCUGUGUCAGGCCAAACACUUGUCUCCUUUCCCAUGGACUUCUAGAACCUAAGGUUUGAGAGUAUGAGACUCUGGAACCUUAAGCACUAAGUGGUGGGGACAUCUCGGCAGCCGAGCUGUGGCCCGCUCCAGGCGCCGCCUUGGGUCUCCCUCUGCCAGCACCUCCUCACAGCCGUGUUAGAGAACCCAAACCCACAGACAGAAAGGGCUGGCGGCGUCAUCCUUACUGACAAGGUCACAGGGACCCCGAGGAGAUGAUCUUGACUGCGCAUUCGCCCGGUUUGCUCUGCCGCAGUCCCACGGCUGGCCAGUCCUCGCUCCCUGUGCCCUCCGACCUCUCCCCGGCUGCCCACCUCCUCCAUCACUGGGUCCCGUGCUUGUCCCGAGGCCUGAGUCUACUGCGCCAUCUGCCCGCUCUGCUCACGGAGGACAGGCCAGUCUAUCGCCAGGCCUGCUCCAUCCUCUCAGGAGUUCCGGUGUGUGACAUUUUCUCCAUCUCGCUAGAUUGGAAGCACAUGUACCUCGAGCCGUGGAAUUUAGGUCACUUGGGUCCAGCAGCAGUUCACUGCACUAGGAGCUGAUCACCAAGGAGAAAAGAUGACACAGAUGCAGGCCCGGCCCUGGCGUCACCGAGUGGUCCUUCUAGUUCUUCUAUGUGAGGCACCACCACAGCCUGGCUCCUGACAGACAGGUGGUGUGGUUCCAUGCUCGGGAGCUGAACGUGCGCCACCAAAUCUGAGCACACCCAACUUUAACCACUAGGCCAUCAGGCCUGGCUCAGGUCAUAGAUUCAAGAAUGUCAGCAAAGUUGGUGAUAGAAGAAGAGAAGGCCAGAGGUCAGGAUUCAGAGCCCAGCACUCCCCUGGGUGGCUCCACGGCCUUUGGACACAGUCACUGGGCAGGACUGAGGACUCUGCCCUUGGAGAGGAGUGGAAACCUGUGGUGCUUUGUCAGGGAUGUCGCAUCGCAUGAGGAAGGCAUUUUUUAACCCUAUUCCAAGAAGAAGGGUGGGCGUGUGUGUGCGCGUGUGUGUGAUGGGUAAAGGAUGGGAUGCAGUGGACACAUGUGGCUUCCGCCUGCCCAACACCCUCUCUGGGCCUUUUCUGGGAACAACGCCCCCUUCGUUGGGUAACUGCCUCUCCUCCACCCACGGGGUUCUGGUGAGUGUGUUAGCCAACAGCCCUCACCUUCACGCCCACCACCCUGUUACGGUCUGAAUGUCUGUGUCCCCCCACAACUCACGGGUUGGGAUCCUGCACGCAGUGUGGUGGGAUUCUGAGGCGGGGUCUUGGGGAGGUGAUCAGGUCAUGAGGGGGGAUCCUCCAUGAAUGGGACUAGUGUCCUUCUCAGAGACCCCACAGGGCUCCCUGGCCCCUUCACCGUGUGAGGACAUGGUGAGAAGUGGACACUGCAACCCAGAGGAGCACUGUCACCAGAGCCCUCCCAUCUGGCAGCCUGACCUUGACCUGCAGCCUCCAGAACCGUGAGAAAUAAAUGUUUGUUGUCUAUGAGCCACCUAG